GGUCUGAGGGGACAGUCCACUAUAGCAGGGAAGUCAUGGUGACGGGACAAUCAGCCCUCAGAACCCACAUUGAAAGAAGGAGCAGAAGAAAGAAGAAGAGAAGAAGGAAGAGGAGGAGGAGGACAAAGAGGAGGAGGAGGAAGAGGAGACACUGACCAGAUGUUGUGGCAUACAACCUUGAGUCGCUCGCAAAGAAACUGAAACCCAGAACUGAGAGAUAGCUGGGAUGAAUUCCACAUUCUCAUUGGGGCUGCCUGCUUCCCAAGAAGAGCAUUUCCAGAUCGUUCCUGUUCAGGCAAGGCAUUGUAAGUACCAGCAACUGGCCCCGGCAUGGCAUAGAGCAGAUCUGAAACACGUGCAUGCUCAGUGUAGGGAUCAAUGACUUCAUCAAGGUGGCCAGGGUCUGGACCACAGCUUCCAACCAGCUGCCAACUGCCUCCCACCUCACCUUCAACCUCAGACUGGACUUUUGGGGAUUGGUAAGUUCUGUUUCAUUUCUCUGGGUCUCCUCUGACUUGACAAAAGUUCUUUGCACACCCCAAUAUUUCCCAAUCAUGCUGAGAACCAAUGGAGGGUUCAUAGUUGACCAAGUUUAGCCUAAGCCAAGAUGAGGAUGGAAUAUGGCUAAGGCUGAAGUGCUGGUGGCAGAGAUUCCAGAAGAUAGAAACCAUCAUGGGAUGGAUGGAUGGAUGGAUGGAUGGAUGGAUGGAUGGAUAGAUGAAUGGAUAGAUGAAUGGAUGGAUGGAUGGUAUUCUUUGAGGCCUGUCUUAUCCAGUACCCCUGUUUCUUGCUUAUUGUUCACAUCUCAUUAAUUUAACAAGUUUAAAGGCUUCCUCGGGGACACAAGAACCAUAGAUCCCAUCUUAGGAAGUCUUAAAAGUUGUUAAAAGACCAAAGAAUCCAGAAGACUGAAUUUGAACCCACAGCAACCUAACUGUGGGUGACUUGGGUAGGUCACAUUCUGCCUCUUCUGAACCAAAUCAGUAAAUGACAGCAAUGCCCACCAGACGUGGAGCUGAAGCCUUCCUGCCCACUGUGGCUGAGUCAGGAGAGCCUGUGCCGUCUCACAACCCAUCCCCUCCACCUCCGAGGGCAUCUGCUGUGAGACUCAGCACCCAACUGAUCACACUGUUGCUCCCAGCACUGCACUGGGCAAGAGUGGAGACCUCACCUGUUCAGGUCACAGUUGCUCUUCCAAUCCCUGAUAGGAGAGACAUCCCAUAAUUUACUGUUGUGGUCAUUGUCACCGUCAUCCUUUUGUUUUGUUGGGAGACAGGGUCUCAGAUAUCCCUGGCUGACCUCAAGCUCAUUAUGAAGCAAAAGGCAUCCUCAGACUUCUGAUCCUUCAGUCUCCAGCUCCUGGGUGCUCAGAUCUCAGGCAUGUGCCAGCGUUCGUGUUCAGGCAUGAGAUUCGGAGAGAGCAUCAGAACCGGAGGCUAUGAGAGCUCGCUGAGCCAGCCGAAGCCUUAACAAGUAGGAGAGUCCAAAGGGAGGAGACUCAGAGAUCAAAGCCCGGAAGAUUUACGGGUGUCAGAAUGACAGGAGGAGGGCAUCCAGAAGGUUUUCAGCAAUCUGGCUGUUACCUUCAUUUCUCCACUAUUUAAUCAAUCAUUUACCCCCCUCUGGCACUGGCAGGCCCAGGAUCUUUUGGGAGAAACAGGGGACUCAGGAAAGCAUCAUCUGUGCAAGGGCACAGGUUAUGUAUGCAUACACACAUGCACACACAAUAGAUGAAUAAUUUUUAAAAUAAAAUAUGAACAGCAUUGUGAGGUUUCUGGGAGGAAUCAUGAGAGAACCUGUGUGUGGUACUUACCACAGUGCCCUCCCUGCCAAUUGAGCAUGCAGUAGGUACUCAAUAAAUGUCAGUCCCAGCCCCUUCCUCUUAUAGAUAGCUGUUCUUAAUCUUGGUCACGCAGCUUGUCCAAAAAGGAACCUUAAUCUAAAGUCUGCAUCUCCCCAAGAUGGAAGCCAUCAAUUAGCCUUCUAUUCAGAGCACAGGCUCAAGGCUAGACUCUCCAAACCCAACACAUUGCAUAAGCCUGCAAGCCAAAUACUAAUGGCCUGAAGAGGGAGGUACCCAGCCUAAUCUGUUCUGGCAGGAGUGACUGCCAGACACCCGGCUUCCACAGCAGCAGUGCCAGAGGUUCCGUCCGCGGUGGCAUGCAGUGGGACAUGCUAUCGAAUCCAUGCCUGCAGCUAGUGUCAAACAUAGACGUCCUCAGGACUGCAGCCUUCAGCCCUGUUCUCUGAAAACCCUUCCUGGCGGUUCUAGGACUCGCCUAAUGUCACUUAGUGACCUCGCUUCAGGGUGUGGUUCCUGCCCUUGCAAGAAAAAAACCCAAUGGGUACAGAAAUCUGGGAUGGGAAUGGCUGAUGAUGAAAGAGUCUUCAGGGCCUGGGCUCAGGUGUCUAGGUGACUAUGUUUCUCACAUCUCAAGCAGGCUCCCCAUUUUCCACACCAGCGUCCUCCACCCUAAUCUUUCCUACCAGCAGACAGCAGCUACUCUAAGAUUCCCAGGUAUCCUCGGUCAGUGUUUUGUUCUGUUUUGUUGUGUUGUGUUGUUGGUUUUUUGGUACCAUGCAGUUCUUCAAGAAAUCCUGACAAUGAGUUCUGCCUUUAGAUCAUGUUCAUAGCCUAACCAUCCCCAGCCAUCUCUGCUCUAAGCACCAAGGCACCAAGGACUCUCUCUGUCUCUCUCUCUCUGUCUCUAUCUAUCUAUCUAUCUAUCUAUCUAU
Molecule: long non-coding RNA, 2736 nt
Organism: Mus musculus (house mouse)
Lineage: Eukaryota; Metazoa; Chordata; Mammalia; Rodentia; Muridae
Product: predicted gene, 39022
Exons: 4
Source: RefSeq, a predicted model, not a curated record